UAGAUACCCUAUUAUUCAAGAUGUAGACCCAUCUAAGGUAGUAGUUGUUAUACUCUUAAAACCUAAAGAAUUUGGCGGUGUCAAAUUAAAUCAGAGGAACCUGUUUAUUAAGCGAUAACCCACGAUAAAUCUUUCUUUUUAUAUAGGUUUGUAUACCAUCAUCUAUAGUAAAUUCCCUAGAAAAAUACUCAUUUGUAGGAACAAUUAAGUUAGAUCAAGGUGCAGCAUUAAAAAGCAAUUAAUGGGUUACAAUUAAACUCAGAUUGAAAAUUUCACUCAAAAAGGUGAAAAUAAAAUGGAUUUGAAAGUAAUUUUAGUUUAACAAGCUAAAAUGAGUAAUUCUAGGCAUGUACACAUCGCC
RNAcentral lists this ribosomal RNA (361 nucleotides) under unidentified. RNAcentral describes it as "Burmoniscus sp. partial 12S ribosomal RNA". The record is from RNAcentral.